Non-coding RNA from Nicotiana tabacum (common tobacco), 1877 nucleotides. Lineage: Eukaryota; Viridiplantae; Streptophyta; Magnoliopsida; Solanales; Solanaceae. The record is from RefSeq and is a predicted model, not a curated record.
AACACCCCUGGACCCUUAGAGCCGCAGCCCCAACCCACCGACCCCUCCCCCUUCAGUCUAAAAACCAGCCUUCCACACCACCCUUCAGCCGCCAGCCACACGCCACCAAGCUCGCCGAACGCCCGACAACAAUCUUCAACAACGAGUCGCCCACCCCUAAAACUCUAAUUGCCGCACACAGCUUUCCCAAAAAUCAAUCUUCAUUCCUUAACUUGAAACACUGAUUUUCCUCCAACAAAGAGACAAAACCAAGAACCCUAGACACAUAUCCAAUUCGCCACAAAUAACAAUUUUAUUUGUUACCAAAAAGUGCUUGUGACCAUACUUUUUCUUCAUAGAAAGACCAGUACACUCCAAAAGAAAAUUAGGAGUACAUCGUUGCGGGGUUACAUUGUUGUUCCCAUGUUUGAGCAAAACAACAAAUCAAGAGAUGAUAGUUUGUGGCUUUAACACAAGGGAGUGGAUUGUAUAAGUGGAGUAUUGCGGCGAAAUUGGAGGCGUGAUCGAGGCAGUAAGGUUUUCCGAUUGAGGUGUCCAUUCGCGAUUUGCCGUCUCCAAUUGUAGGCUCAUGCUUGUCGAGUUAGACAUCAAAGAUUAAUGGAUGAUUUGUCUUCUCUGCUUAAUCUAUUUGAUGUCAAGAAUGGAUUUACUUAAUAAGCAAUUAAGAUGGUUGAACAGUUAACAAGUUAAAGGGGCCUUGGGAUUUGGGGUACUGGAAAUUGAAAAAAGGGUUUGAGCCAUGUGGUUUGUUAGGGAUUAAACUUCAUGGUAUUUGGGCUUCGUAUGAUUUCAAUUGUUAUUAUUAUAUUCUAUUGAGUCGACAGUAGUAUGCUUAGGUCCGUCAUCACCUGGGUAGGCAAACUUUAGGAUUUUUGUUAGUUUUAAGGUGAGAGGUAGUUCCUUUAGUUAAAUUCAUCCGGGGAAUGCCCCAAAGGAUUUGUAUAUAUUUUAUUCCGGGGAAUGCCCCGUAGUAUUCUAUAAUUGGAGGCUAAAAGUAGAACUUGUAGUGUUUUAUUCUUGUUUUAUUUUUCUUUAUUAGGUGGGGACGACCUCGAGCCUCUUAUGUGUUAAUUUUCUCAUUUAUGUGAUUAUUACCUCACUUCGAAUAUUUUAAAAGCCAACUUGAUCAUGUACGCAACCGUACUAGUUACGAGACUCGGGGAGUACCUAACACCUUCUCCCCGAGUCAGAUGAAUCCCUUACCCAAGUCUCUGGUGCGGACUUAGUUUUGGAGUCCAAAAUGUUUUAAAGGAAAAAUUAUUUUUAAAAACGGUGACCUGGCACAACGAAAUCAAUGUCAGGUGGCGACUCUAAAAUAUCUUUUGAAACACAAUCCUUUGUCACUUUCAUAAUUGAAAACCUUUUUGAGCUUUACAAAUCUUUUUAUUUAUUUAAGAGGGUUAGUGAGGUUGUAAAAAAGAGGUGUGACAAUAAUAAUGCUGGCAAAUCAGAUAUAGAUGUUAUGUUUAUGUAUACGGCCAAAAUUGGGGAGUUCAAUUCUGGGACUACUAUGCCGCCCCACGCCUAACCUCGAAAAAGCCCGAAGUAGAGCGUGCCCCGAGGUGUGUCCCUCGAGGGAGCAUAUCGAAGGCUCACUGUGGUCGACCUCGGAGCAGUACAAUCGGUGAUCAUCAUGGAGAGGCGGGAAAAUUCCCAAAUACAUGUGGUUAGAACUAACCAGGUCUGCAAAGAAUAGUACUAAUCCAUACUAAGUCAUUAUACAGCUAUACCAGUAGCAUUUUCUCAUUAGUAUUAGACAUGUACCAUGUUAGGAUUCCCCCUCAUAUAUAAAGGUAACCCUUAUCAUCUUGUAAAAGAAUUGGAAUUUCUAUACAAUAUAUUGAAUACAAUACAACAUCCUCUGGUCUUUGCUAACA